Molecule: long non-coding RNA, 1362 nt
Organism: Solea solea (common sole)
Lineage: Eukaryota; Metazoa; Chordata; Actinopteri; Pleuronectiformes; Soleidae
Exons: 3
Source: RefSeq, a predicted model, not a curated record
UUGGCACUUUAUAUUAAAUUUAAACACCUUCGCGAACACAUGUGGAAGCAUUGUGUUUCUUCUAAUACGUUAAGUAUAUGCAUUUUGGACUUUAUUUUAACUUUACCUUUUACUCAGAAAAGACUUACCGGAAACGGAUUGUCAUCGUGGCUAACGGCUCUAGCUAGCUUAACACCGGUCAGUCGGGGAAAAGGGGGCUGGACUCCGUCCAGCUUUCUUCCUACAAAAAACGUUGGAAGUUGACAGAGGACAGUCUGCACUGGGACAGAAGAAGACAUCGUGCAGUGAAAAAUUAAAGUUUGUAAAUGUAUAGACUUUAUUGAAUGUCUUUCCAUCAUCAACUUCAUCGUCCCUGCUCCGGCGGGGUCCCUAAGGACAAGUGGAAGACAUCGUCCGGAGACUUCACAGUCCGUCGCCGUCCAAACAUUUUGUCGAAGUUCGCACGGAAAACGGCCUCUGCUGUUUAUUCUGGCCGGACAAAGUCUACACGAUCUCACGAUUCCUUGAGUCGAGAGAGAGACUGCUUUCUUGUCUCGGGCAGUUCCUGUUUUGGUGACUGUUUGUGAAAGACGCCCGGCGAGGAGUCGACGACCCAGUUUUAAAUGAGGAAUUGCUGCGAUUGAGUGGAUUUUCUGCUUUGAAGCCAUGGGAGCCAGAUUUGUGCAGUUCCUGCGACAUCCUCCGAUGGUUUUCUGGAGGAAUGCUUACCAUUCGAGACAGGAAAAAGGGAGCGGCGCGUUUCUGAUUGGCCGCAUUCCCCUGACCCGACGACCCCCCGGUCAUGGCUGUCCCACUGGGACUGAGCCACACAGAGAGUUAUAGAGAGAGAGAGAGAGAGAGAGAGAGAGAGAGUGUGUGACACGAGUUCUGCUCCAACAUCACACUCUGUGAGAAACCACUGAACGAUUUCAAUCAAAAAUCACAUUUUUGUUUCGUUUUUAUGACAGAAAAUGUAGAACAUACAUGUUUGGAACAAUCCCUAUGUGGAGAGGAAGCAGAAACAGUGGGAGUCAACCGUGUGUGUCCUCACAAGUCUGUUAUUCUAGCUCUAAAAAUAUACAAUCUAUAAUAAAUACAUAAGCACAGGCGGGUGUGGCUGAUGAAAGGAGAUCUUACAGUCGCUGAAAGCCUGAAAAUGGACGCUGUGAGAUUGAGACGAACCCAAACGUGACGUCAUGUCACGUGUUCCGGUGAGUUUUCCUUAUUCUCUGCAAAAAUUAGUUUUGUUUUGUUUUUCCUGGAUAUUUGUCUCUGAUUGUAAUUGUGUUAAAUUUUAGCCCGAGUAUCGUGGUGUAUUCUGUUUUUCAUUGUAAGUGUAAUUAUGAAGUAAAAAAAUACAGAAAUUAAAGCACAAUUUUUAAA